GAUUAACGCUGGCGGCGUGCCUAACACAUGCAAGUCGAACGAUGAAACUCAUUAGAUUUCUUCGGAAUGAAAAUGAAUGGAUUAGUGGCGAACGGGUGAGUAACGCGUGAGUAACCUGCCUUACACAAGGGGAUAGCCUCUGGAAACGGAGAAUAUUACCCUAUGAAACCAGACAAUCGCAUGAUAAUCUGGUCAAAAUGUUUAGUGGUGUAAGAUGGACUUGCGUCUGAUUAGCUAGUUGGUGAGAUAAAAGCUCACCAAGGCAACGAUCAGUAGCCGGCUUGAGAGAGUGUACGGCCACAUUGGGACUGAGACACGGCCCAGACUCCUACGGGAGGCAGCAGUGGGGAAUUUUGCACAAUGGGGGAAACCCUGAUGCAGCGACGCCGCGUGAUUUAGAAGGCCUUCGGGUUGUAAAAAUCUUUUGUAUAGGAAGAAAAUGACAGUACUAUACGAAUAAGGUCCGGCUAAUUACGUG
Molecule: ribosomal RNA, 478 nt
Filed under: uncultured bacterium
Lineage: Bacteria
Description: partial 16S ribosomal RNA
Rfam family: Bacterial small subunit ribosomal RNA
Source: RNAcentral